CUUCUCCUUCAUAGUCUGCCCAUCCAUCCUUGAUGAUCUGCCUCCUCUGGUUGCGGUUGCGUCGUUUCCUCACCUGCUUAGAUUCUUCAACGAUAUAGUUAGGGUCAGUAAAAUAACGGCAUACCUUCUCGGAGGGGAAGUGCAUAUGGACUUCUCCGGUUCCAAUGUAGAUAAUUGCUUUAACGGUGCUGAGGAACGGUCUUCCAAGGAUGAUGGGUGGAUCAUACUCGUCUUCUCCCAUGUCAAUAACUUGAAAGUCUAUGUAGACAAAGUGAUCGUCUAUUUUGACUAGGACAUCAGUUACUAUUCCUUUAAACUCUUGAAAUGUCUGAUCUGCCAUCUAGAGCUGAAUGUAUGUUGGUCUUAGUGGCAUGGUCCCGAACAAGAGCCGAUAGGUGACUGCAGCC
Molecule: long non-coding RNA, 407 nt
Filed under: Sorghum bicolor (sorghum)
Lineage: Eukaryota; Viridiplantae; Streptophyta; Magnoliopsida; Poales; Poaceae
Description: long non-coding RNA (SBIC_LNC013799)
Source: RNAcentral